Molecule: small RNA, 1918 nt
Filed under: Pongo abelii (Sumatran orangutan)
Lineage: Eukaryota; Metazoa; Chordata; Mammalia; Primates; Hominidae
Description: transcribed unitary pseudogene
Source: RNAcentral
AGGAGUGUGUGCUGCUCCCCAUCCCGGCACUGUGGGCGGGGUGCUGCUCAGGAGGGGCCCCACCAACCCCCAUGGGCUUGGCUACCCUGCAGCUGCUGCCCAGCCCUCCAGGGGCCCCCGACGGUCAGCUGCAGCCCAUCCCUGGCAUCGGCCACCCAGACAAGCCUGAGGCCGGGAAGCUGGACCAGCUGCGGUCUCAGCCCACCCCGAAGCAGGGAGCUCAAGGAACACCCACCCAGUCCCCCUCCACUGGCUGGAAAGCGCCUCCCAGGCCAGGGCUGGCCCUGAGGAAGGAGUCACCCCCAGUGACCUCGGAGCAGGAGCAGGGUCACAACAAGGGCCUGGUCACUGAGUGGGCUCAGCCCCAGGCCACAGCUGCCAUGAGGGCUGAGGCAGGGAAGCCCGGGGCCCUGAAGCUCAGGCCCUGGCAGGCCGGCAGGGACCCUCAAGCUCAAGAGGGGGCAGCAGUCACCGAGGAGGACCAGGGCCAGAGGACAGGAAGCCGGGAAGACAAGGGAAGGGGCCUGAAACCCAGGAGGCCCCCUAAAGGGACCUCCCAUCAACCUGGGCCGAGGAUCCGGCGCCCACAGAAGGACCGCAGCCGAGGCCGGGAUGGCGGCGGCAGCACCUCCAAGACCCCAGGCCGUGGGUGGAAAAGACCAGGAAGCACACAUGGGCACAGGCACAGGCACGCAGACCUGGGCACCACCCAGCAGGCCAUGCCCUCUCUGCCAGCCUCGUGCCUCCUGGCCCAGGCAGUCAUCACCUGUGGCAAUGUCAAGAUGAAGCAUGUCCCUGCCCUGACCGACCCUGGUCUGACCACACGCUACGUGGCAGAGAAUGAAAUUGUCAAGAUCCCAGCCCACACGUUCCUGGGGCUGCCCAACCUGGAGUGGCUGGAUCUCAGCAAGAACAAGCUGGACCCCCGAGGCCUGCACCCCCAUGCCUUCAAGAAUCUGAUGCGGCUGAAGCGGCUGAACCUGGAUGGGAACUCGCUGACCACAGUCCCGGCCCUACCUGCCUCCCUGCAGGAGCUCAAACUCAACGACAACCUCCUGCAGGGCCUGCAACGCAGCAGCUUCCGUGGGCUCAGCCAGCUGCUGACGCCGGAGGUGGAAGGGAACCAGCUGCGUGACAGGGACAUCUCCCCCUGGCCUUCCAGCCCCUCUGCAGCCUGCUCUAUCUGAGGCUGGACCGGAACCGGCUGCGGACCAUCCCACGCGGCCUGCCGUCCUCCCUGCAGUCACGCAGCCUGCCGUCCUCCCUGCAGGAGCUGCACCUGGGCACCAACCUCAUCGAGGAGGUGGCGGAGGGCGCACUGAGCCACAUCCACAGUCUCAGCGUGCUGGUGCUCAGCCACAACCGGCUUCAAGAGCACCGGCUGGCACCCCGAGCCCGGAUCCAUCUCCCGAAGCUGGAGACCCUUGACCUGUCCUACAACCGGCUGGUGCACGUGCCCUCCUUCCUGCCGCGGGGCCUGAGGCGCCUGACGCUGCACCACAACCACAUCGAGCGCAUCCCUGGCUACGCGUUCGCGCACAUGAAGCCAGGCCUAGAGUUCCUGCACCUGUCCCACAACAGGCUGCAGGCUGACGGCAUCCACAGCGUGUCCUUCCUGGGCCUGCGCGCCUCGCUGGCAGAGCUGCUCCUGGAUCAUAACCAGCUGCAGGCCAUCCCACGCGGCCUCCUGGGCCUCAAGGGACUGCAGGUGCCGGGCCUGAGCCACAACAGGAUCAGACAAGUGCCCUUGAAUUCCAUCUGUGACACGCGCGUGGCCCAGGACUCCAACCUUAUCUCCACACACCUGGAGAACAACCUCAUUGACCGGCACCGCAUCCCGCCCACUGCCUUCUCCUGCAUCCGAGCCUAUCACAGCGUGGUCCUCCAGCCCCAGCGGGGGGAGGAGAAGGGCUCCUAG